GAUCCUGGCUCAGGAUGAACGCUGGCGGCGUGCCUAACACAUGCAAGUCGAGCGAUUCUCUUCGGAGAAGAGCAGCGGACGGGUGAGUAACGCGUGGGUAACCUGCCUUGUACACACGGAUAACAUACCGAAAGGUAUGCUAAUACGAGAUAAUAUGCUUUUAUCGCAUGGUAGAAGUAUCAAAGCUUUUGCGGUACAGGAUGGACCCGCGUCUGAUUAGCUAGUUGGUAAGGUAAUGG
Molecule: ribosomal RNA, 239 nt
Filed under: uncultured bacterium
Lineage: Bacteria
Description: partial 16S ribosomal RNA
Rfam family: Bacterial small subunit ribosomal RNA
Source: RNAcentral